UCGAAGUAAACCUGAUGGGCUGUCGCUGGCUCUCCAGGGAGCAUGUGCACGCCCAGUCAUCUUUAUGUCUCCACCUGUGCACUUUUUGUAGACCCCCAGGGUCUAUGUCGCUUCAUUCACCCCAAAUGCAUGUCGAUAGAAUGUUAGUCCCAUAUGAAAUCUAUA
Molecule: unclassified non-coding RNA, 165 nt
Filed under: uncultured Cortinariaceae
Lineage: Eukaryota; Fungi; Basidiomycota; Agaricomycetes; Agaricales; Cortinariaceae
Description: sequence contains ITS1
Source: RNAcentral